This 533-nucleotide ribosomal RNA is filed under the name Microbacterium sp. Its description in RNAcentral is "bacterial SSU rRNA". It matches the Rfam family "Bacterial small subunit ribosomal RNA", at positions 56 to 606 of the family's 1533-position model. The record is from RNAcentral. Lineage: Bacteria; Bacillati; Actinomycetota; Actinomycetes; Micrococcales; Microbacteriaceae.
UGCAGUCGACGGUGAGGAAGCUUGCUUUCUGGAUCAGUGGCGAACGGGUGAGUAACACGUGAGCCAUCUGCCCCUGACUCUGGGAUAACAGUUGGAAACAGCUGCUAAUACUGGAUACGAACUGCGAUCGCAUGGUCGGCAGUUGGAAAGAAUUUCGGUCAGGGAUGAGCUCGCGGCCUAUCAGCUUGUUGGUGAGGUAAUGGCUCACCAAGGCGUCGACGGGUAGCCGGCCUGAGAGGGUGACCGGCCACACUGGGACUGAGACACGGCCCAGACUCCUACGGGAGGCAGCAGUGGGGAAUAUUGCACAAUGGGCGGAAGCCUGAUGCAGCAACGCCGCGUGAGGGAUGACGGCCUUCGGGUUGUAAACCUCUUUUAGCAGGGAAGAAGCGGAAGUGACGGUACCUGCAGAAAAAGCGCCGGCUAACUACNUGCCAGCAGCCGCGGUAAUACGUAGGGCGCAAGCGUUAUCCGGAAUUAUUGGGCGUAAAGAGCUCGUANGNNUUUUGUCGCGUCUGCUGNGAAANCCCGAG